This 457-nucleotide ribosomal RNA is filed under the name uncultured bacterium. RNAcentral's name for it is "bacterial SSU rRNA". It matches the Rfam family "Bacterial small subunit ribosomal RNA", at positions 343 to 793 of the family's 1533-position model. The record is from RNAcentral.
GGGAGGCAGCAGUGGGGAAUAUUGCACAAUGGGCGCAAGCCUGAUGCAGCCAUGCCGCGUGUAUGAAGAAGGCCUUCGGGUUGUAAAGACUUUCAGCAGUGAGGAAGGUGGGUAUGUUAAUAGCAUAUUCAUUUGACGUUAGCUGCAGAAGAAGCACCGGCUAACUCCGUGCCAGCAGCCGCGGUAAUACGGAGGGUGCGAGCGUUAAUCGGAAUUACUGGGCGUAAAGCGCAUGCAGGUGGUUUGUUAAGUCAGAUGUGAAAGCCCCGGGGCUCAACCUCGGAAUUGCAUUUGAAACUGGCAAACUAGAGUACUGUAGAGGGGGUAGAAUUUCAGGUGUAGCGGUGAAAUGCGUAGAGAUCUGAAGGAAUACCGGUGGCGAAGGCGGCCCCCUGGACAGAUACUGACACUCAGAUGCGAAAGCGUGGGGAGCAAACAGGAUUAGAUACCCUGGUAG